GACGAACGCUGGCGGCGUGCUUAACACAUGCAAGUCGAGCGGUAAGGCCCUUUCGGGGGUACACGAGCGGCGAACGGGUGAGUAACACGUGGGUGACCUGCCCUCAGCUCUGGGAUAAGCCUGGGAAACCGGGUCUAAUACUGGAUAUGACUCCAUGACGCAUGUUGUGGGGUGAAAGCCUUGUGCGGCUGAGGAUGGGCCCGCGGCCUAUCAGCUUGUUGGUGGGGUGANGGCCUACCAAGGCGACGACGGGUAGCCGGCCUGAGAGGGCGACCGGCCACACUGGGACUGAGACACGGCCCAGACUCCUACGGGAGGCAGCAGUGGGGAAUCUUGCGCAAUGGGCGAAAGCCUGACGCAGCGACGCCGCGUGAGGGAU
RNAcentral lists this ribosomal RNA (379 nucleotides) under uncultured bacterium. RNAcentral describes it as "bacterial SSU rRNA". It matches the Rfam family "Bacterial small subunit ribosomal RNA", at positions 28 to 409 of the family's 1533-position model. The record is from RNAcentral.